CUCCCUUCUCUAACAUUCAUCAUGGUUUCUGUGGCACUGAGGCUGUUCAUCUUCUGCCUGUUUCAUCUGUGUGUUCAAGGCAAUCAGGUGCCAGUGAACACUGAGCAUCUUGCUCAAAUGAUCCGGUAUUUUGAUGAUAAGUUACAGCCAGGUGGAUAUCAUCAGUAUUCUGUACUCAUUAGGGUCCCAUAUCAACACUGCACAGAUACAUUUAGUCUUGAUUUGGUAUUUCAACACGAAUGAAAUAAAAACAGCCUUCAAUGAUUUCAAGACCAGUAAAGAAAGAAGGUUAUAUGAAGUCACCAAAGACUCAGUCAGUCUCACUGCCACAAAGCCGAGUUGAGAUUCUACCAGUUCUUCUAAAGAAAAUGACCAUGCUGAGUAUAUUCUUAUCUAUUCUAGAGAUGCUGCACAUUCUAAAUCUCCCCUGCAGAAAAUUUUGGACAUGAUAAAUGAUGAUCAGUGUGUUGUUUUGUAUACUUACAACUCACCUUGCAUAACAAAAUGCAUUAACGAUGAAGAGGACAGUAUUUUAUAUGGCCUUUCAAACUGGAAAAACACACAGACAACUGGGAUUAAAGCUUUAGUUUUCCAAGAGAUCUGGCCCAAUGAUUCGACUGGUUUGCCAGAGGAUCAGGAAGAGCAAUUUACAAAGAUUAAUAAUCGAGUGCCUCUCUAUCGAUGUGUAAAGAAUAAUAAUCAAAUUAUGCAAUGUAUUAAGUGUGGAGAUUCUGGUGGGGAGAAGUUACAAAAAAAAUGUGUGUCUUAAAAAAAACAUUUUACGUUAGUAAUUGUACUGUUGUUGUAUGUAAAUGAAUGAAUUUCACAUUAUUGUAUGUUUAGCAUCUAAAUUAAACAUUUUUUAAUCCAUAACCAAAAAUUCAACAAUCAGGCAUGCAAACAACUUAACAUUAACAAGACCAGACCACUGAAGAGUGCACAAGAAGGAACUUAAAUACACAAUUUGCGAUUAACUAAAUGAUGAGCAGCUGUGAAGAUUAGUGUCCACGGUAACAGAUAAGUGGUGGGAAACUGGAACAA
Labeo rohita (rohu) is the source of this 1041-nucleotide long non-coding RNA. RefSeq lists it as uncharacterized. The record is from RefSeq and is a predicted model, not a curated record. NCBI's taxonomy places the organism in Eukaryota, Metazoa, Chordata, Actinopteri, Cypriniformes, Cyprinidae. The transcript is spliced from 3 exons.